UGGGGAAUCUUAGACAAUGGGGAAACCCUGAUCUAGCCAUGCCGCGUGAGCGAUGAAGGCCUUAGGGUUGUAAAGCUCUUUUCAGCUGGGAAGAUAAUGACGGUACCAGCAGAAGAAGCCCCGGCUAACUCCGUGCCAGCAGCCGCGGUAAUACGGAGGGGCUAGCGUUGUUCGGAAUUACUGGGCGUAAAGCGCACGUAGGCGGAUUAGUCAGUCAGAGGUGAAAUCCCAGGGCUCAACCCUGGAACUGCCUUUGAUACUGCUAGUCUUGAGGUCGAGAGAGGUGAGUGGAAUUCCGAGUGUAGAGGUGAAAUUCGUAGAUAUUCGGAGGAACACCAGUGGCGAAGGCGGCUCACUGGCUCGAUACUGACGCUGAGGUGCGAAAGCGU
This 389-nucleotide ribosomal RNA is filed under the name uncultured bacterium. RNAcentral's name for it is "partial 16S ribosomal RNA". It matches the Rfam family "Bacterial small subunit ribosomal RNA", at positions 355 to 762 of the family's 1533-position model. The record is from RNAcentral.